GAUGCGGAUGCCCGGUGCUUUGUGAUACACUUUCGAAGAGUCGAGUUGUUUGGGAAUGCAGCUCAAAUUGGGUGGUAAAUUCCAUCUAAAGCUAAAUAUUGGCGAGAGACCGAUAGCGAACAAGUACCGUGAGGGAAAGAUGAAAAGCACUUUGGAAAGAGAGUUAACAGUACGUGAAAUUGUUGGAAGGGAAACGCUUGAAGUCAGACUUGCUAUUCGGAAUUCAGCCGCAAGGUGUACUUUUCGAUUCGCAGGCCAGCAUCAGUUUUCGGGGAUGGAAAAGGGCAGAGAGAAGGUAGCAGUUUCGGCUGUGUUA
Molecule: ribosomal RNA, 316 nt
Filed under: Kriegeriales sp.
Lineage: Eukaryota; Fungi; Basidiomycota; Microbotryomycetes; Kriegeriales
Description: partial large subunit ribosomal RNA
Rfam family: Eukaryotic large subunit ribosomal RNA
Source: RNAcentral